Molecule: ribosomal RNA, 3784 nt
Filed under: bacterium (Candidatus Ratteibacteria) CG_4_8_14_3_um_filter_41_36
Lineage: Bacteria; Candidatus Ratteibacteria
Description: bacterial LSU rRNA
Rfam family: Bacterial large subunit ribosomal RNA
Source: RNAcentral
UUUAUGGUCAAGCAAGAAAGAGCGUACGGAGGAUGCCUUGGUGAAAGAUAGCGAAGAAGGACGUGGUAAGCUGCGAUAAGCUUCGGGUAGCCGCAAAUAGGCUUUGAUCCGGAGAUUUCCGAAUGGGGCAACCCAUCUGCUUUAAUCGGCAGAUAUCUAUCUCUAAAUAAAAUAGGGGCUAGAGGCAAAACCAGGAGAAUUGAACCAUCUUAGUAUCCUGAGGAAAAGAAAACGAAUGCGAUUCCCUUAGUAGCGGCGAGCGAAACGGGAACAGCCUAAACCAAAUAGGGGUAAUAGCCUGUAUGCGUUCUCUAUUUGGGGUUGUAGGACUUAAACAAAGCCAAGAUACAGAUUGGCACAAGGCCUAAAAUUUUUUCGCUUAGUCGAACAGCCUGGAAAGACUGGCUAAAAAAGGUAAUAGCCCUGUAGAUGAAAAGCGAAGAAAGCCUUGAUUAAGUUCCUGAGUACUGCGGAACUCGUGGAAUUCUGUAGGAAUCUGGCCCGACCAUGGGCUAAGGCUAAAUAAAAUCUUUCAACCGAUAGUGAACAAGUACCGUGAGGGAAAGGUGAAAAGAACCCCGAGAGGGGAGUGAAAUAGAACCUGAAACCGUAUGCUUACAAGCAGUCAGAGCCCUAUGCUCUUCCUUAUAUUCGGAAGAGAAUGGGUGAUGACGUGCCUAUUGAAGAAUGAACCGGCGAGUUAUUUAGAGUAGCAAGGUUAAGUCUAUAACAUAGACGGAGCCGUAGCGAAAGCGAGUCUGAAUAGGGCGACAAAAAGUUACUUUAAAUAGACCCGAAGCUGAGUGAUCUACCCAUGGCCAGAAUGAACUCUGCCUAAUCGCAGAGGGAGGUUCGAACCCGUGUAGGUUGAAAACUGCUGGGAUGAGCUGUGGGUCGGAGUGAAAGGCUAAUCAAACUCAGCGAUAGCUGGUUCUCCCCGAAAUAGCUUUAGGGCUAGCCUUCCAGAAAGCGUAGUGGAGGUAGAGUACUAAAUGGAUAAGGAGGCCCACCAGGUCUCCAAAUCCAAUUAAACUCCGAAUUCCAUUAUUGUUGCUGGAGGAGUCAGACUGUGGGGGAUAAGCUCCAUGGUCAAAAGGGAAACAGCCCAGACCAUUAGCUAAGGUCCCUAAUAUGGACUAAGUGGUAAAGGAAGUGGAGUCACUCAGACAAUCAGGAUGUUGGCUCAGAAGCAGCCAUCAUUUAAAGAAAGCGUAACAGCUCACUGAUCGAUUUGAAGUCUCUAAAAAUCGUAAGAUUUGCGAGACUUUUGUAACUCUGCGCCGACAAUGUAACGGGGCUCAAGUCCAUUACCGAAGCCGUGGAUUUAGUUCGUAGUCCAGAGUUCAUAGUUCGUAGAUUUCUAUGAACUAUAGGCUAGUAACUAUGAACUGAAUGGUAGGGGAGCAUUCCCUAAGCGAGUGAAGCCUGACCGCAAGGACAGGUGGACGUAUGGGAAGAGAGUAUGCCGGUAUAAGUAACGAAAAAAUCUGUGAAAAACAGAUUCGCCGAAAGUCUAAGGUUUCCUGGGGAAGGUUAAUCCGCCCAGGGUUAGUCGGUGGCUAAGUCGAGGCUGAAAAGCGUAGAUAAUGCACAAUCCGUUAAUAUUCGGAUACUACCUAAGAACCGUUUUGAGUGAUGAGGUAACGCAGAAGGACAAAUCAGCCACAUAAUGGAUAUUGUGGUUUAAGCCCGUAGGUUGGGAAGAUGAGGAAAAUCUUUAUCUUCCAUUUAAAACCAAGAGGUGAAUAGGAGUUUUCUCUUCGGAGAGAGCGAACUGAUCGAUUCCACGCUGCCAAGAAAAACCUCUAAACAAGGUUUUUGGGUAACCGUACCGCAAACCGACACAGGUAGACAAGCAGAAUAUGCUUAGGCGCUCGAGAUAACUCUCGUUAAGGAACUCGGCAAAUUAACCCCGUAACUUCGGAAUAAGGGGUGCCCUGGUAGUGUGAGGCGUUUUUACAAUUUCUCGCACGAGAGGGUUGCAAAAAAAUGGCUCCUGCGACUGUUUACUAAAAACACAGGUCUCUGCUAAGUCGUAAGACGAUGUAUAGGGACUGACACCUGCCCGGUGCCGGAAGGUUAAGAGGAGAUGUCAUCUGCCCUUUUUGGGUGGAGAAGCGUUGAAUCGAAGCCCUGGUAAACGGCGGCCCUAACUAUAAGGGUCCUAAGGUAGCGAAAUUCCUUGUCGGGUAAGUUCCGACCUGCACGAAUGUUGUAACGAUAGGAGCACUGUCUCAACGAGGGACUCGGUGAAUUUGUGAUACCCGUGAAGACGCGGGUUACCCGCAGCAAGACGAAAAGACCCCGGAACCUUUACUGUAACUUAACAUUGGAUUUUAAAAUAGUAUGUGUAGCAUAGGUGGGAGGCUAUGAAACCGGCUCGUCAGGGCUGGUGGAGCCGCCAGUGAAAUACCACUCUUACUGUUUUGAGGUUCUAACCUUAUUCUGUGAAACCAGAAGAGGGACAGUGUUUGGCGGGCAGUUUGACUGGGGCGGUUGCCUCAUAAAAAGUAACUGAGGUGCCCAAAGGUUUCCUCAAGCCGUUUGGUAAUCGGUUGUAGAGCGUAAAGGUAUAAGGAAGCCUGACUGCGAGACCGACAGGUCGAGCAGAGUGGAAACACGGGCUUAAUGAUCCGGUGAUUCUGAAUGGAAGGGUCAUCGCUCAACGGAUAAAAGGUACUCCGGGGAUAACAGGCUGAUCUUGCCCAAGAGUUCAUAUCGACGGCAAGGUUUGGCACCUCGAUGUCGGCUCAUCGCAUCCUGGGGCUGAAGUAGGUCCCAAGGGUUGGUCUGUUCGCCCAUUAAAGCGGUACGUGAGCUGNNNNNNNNNNNNNNNNNNNNNNNNNCAAGUAAAAACGGAGGGUGUGCGGAUAAUCAGCAGGCAAGCAGGAAAAAAAUAUCAGAUGAAUAUUUUACUGGCUUCGUUGAUGGAGAAGGCUGUUUCUAUGUAGGUUUCAGCCGAAGAAAAGAUUUACCUUUAGGUUGGCAGGUUAUUACAGAGUUCCAUCUCAGUCAGAACCCACAGGGAAAACUAAUUUUAGAACAAUUUCAAAGAAGAUUAGGAUGUGGUUACAUUAAACCUAAUCACCCUAAAAGCAAAAGAGAUAAAACCUGGGUUUUGAUUGUGAAAGACAGAAAAGACCUAAAGGAAAGGUUGAUACCUUUCUUUCAGAAACAUCCUCUUCAUUCAGGGAAAAGAAAAGAUUUUAUGCUCUUUGUUAAAGUACUUCAGUUGAUUGAAAAAGGAAGUCACCUUAAACCUGAAGGUUUUAGGAAGAUAGCCAAUUUGGUCUUCCAAUUACCACGAAGUCGGAAACGUUAUUUGAAAGAAGAGAUAUUUUUCUCCUGUGGCCUCAGAGACUAUACGCCAAAUACCUCGAAAAGGUAAAGAUAUAGUCCGAUCUCACGGGCGACUGUGAGAGUUUCGCAGAAAUGCGAAGUCACCUCUUCUUGAAUCUAGAAGGGGUUAUAAGUCUCUGAUAGGAGAUGAAGUAACAGAAUGUCGGUCUCUAUCUGCUGUGGGCGUUGGAUAUUUGAAGGGGAGCUAUCCCUAGUACGAGAGGAUUGGGAUGGACGAACCUCUGGUGUUCCAGCUGUNNNNNNNNNNNNAAGGAUAAGCGCUGAAAGCAUCUAAGCGCGAAGCCUCCCCCAAGAUAAGAUAUCCCUCUGCCGCAAGGUGGACUAAAGAUUCCAGGAAGACGACCUGGUUGAUAGGCCAGAUGUGUAAGUCCAGUAAUGGAUUCAGCUAACUGGUACUAAUCAAUCGUGUGGCUUGACCAUAGAU